This 253-nucleotide ribosomal RNA is filed under the name uncultured bacterium. RNAcentral describes it as "partial 16S ribosomal RNA". It matches the Rfam family "Bacterial small subunit ribosomal RNA", at positions 524 to 776 of the family's 1533-position model. The record is from RNAcentral.
UACGAAGGAUGCAAACGUUGCUCGGAAUCAUUGGGCGUAAAGCGCACGUAGGCGGCUUCGCAAGUCGGAUGUGAAAUCCCUCGGCUCAACCGAGGACGUGCAUCCGAAACUGCGGAGCUUGAGUACUGAAGAGGAUCGCGGAAUUCCCGGUGUAGAGGUGAAAUUCGUAGAUAUCGGGAGGAACACCAGUGGCGAAGGCGGCGAUCUGGGCAGAUACUGACGCUGAGGUGCGAAAGCGUGGGGAGCAAACAGG